AUGGCAACUUUGUGCAGGCUGUAAGAGGCUUCUGGCCACUUGUUGGUCAGCCAGAUAUCCAACUUUGGUCACAAGUGAUGCCACGGUUUGUGCUCUGCACUAACAUAUGAUACAAAUAUUGAUGAAAAUAAUACUGUUGCCUUCCUGAACAGGAAAUUAAUUUUAUCACUGGAUACAGACACUUAUGAAGAAAGUGGACUUCAAGGUUGUC
RNAcentral lists this long non-coding RNA (211 nucleotides) under Homo sapiens (human). RNAcentral describes it as "non-protein coding lnc-CRLS1-3:1". The record is from RNAcentral. Lineage: Eukaryota; Metazoa; Chordata; Mammalia; Primates; Hominidae.